CUACGGGAGGCAGCAGUGGGGAAUCUUGCACAAUGGGGGAAACCCUGAUGCAGCGACGCCGCGUGAGCGAUGAAGUCCUUCGGGGCGUAAAGCUCUUUCGGCAGGGAAGAUGAUGACGGUACCUGCAGAAGCAGCUGCGGCUAACUACGUGCCAGCAGCCGCGGUAAUACGUAGGCAGCAAGCGUUGUUCGGAGUUACUGGGCGUAAAGGGUGUGUAGGCGGUUGCUUAAGUUUGGUGUGAAAUCUCCCGGCUCAACUGGGAGGGUGCGCCGAAUACUGAGCGGCUCGAGUGCGGGAGAGGAGAGUGGAAUUCCUGGUGUAGCGGUGAAAUGCGUAGAUAUCAGGAGGAACACCGGCGGUGUAGACGGCUCUCUGGACCGCGACUGACGCUGAGACACGAAAGCGUGGGUAGCAAACAGGAUUAGAUACCCCGGUAGU
This 438-nucleotide ribosomal RNA is filed under the name uncultured bacterium. RNAcentral describes it as "bacterial SSU rRNA". It matches the Rfam family "Bacterial small subunit ribosomal RNA", at positions 339 to 794 of the family's 1533-position model. The record is from RNAcentral.